GUGCUCACUUCAGCAGCACAUAUACAACCGGAACAAUACAGAAAAGAUUAGCAUGGCCUCUGCCCAAGGAUGACUAGCAAAUUCAUGAAGUGUUCUGUAAUUUU
Small nuclear RNA from Cercocebus atys (sooty mangabey), 104 nucleotides. The record is from Ensembl. NCBI's taxonomy places the organism in Eukaryota, Metazoa, Chordata, Mammalia, Primates, Cercopithecidae.